AUUUCAGAUUUGUGCUUUCUUUUUCUCUCCUUUUAUCUUCUCUCUCCUCUCCGGGGCUCAAUUCCCCACUUCAUUCCGAUCCCCAAAAAGUCGGUUUGCGAGAACCAGUAGCAGAGCAAAGAAGGAGAGGUGAUUAUUGCCUCUGGUCCAAGUGAGAAUUUUCUCGCUCGAUUUGAGAAAUAGGUGAUUUUUCUGAUCUGAAUCUGAUCUGGAUCUGGGUCUUCGAUUGGACUGACUUUCCGUGCGAUUAUUACCGUAAAUUUGUAAGCUUUGAGCAUUUUGAGCUCUGGGGCUGAGUGGUAGAGGUGGAUUUAGUCGUUUACUCUGAAAAUCGGACUGACGCGGCCUAGUUAUACUCGUUGACUCACUGAAUCUUUGGUAAUGGAGACUCUUCAUGUUGUGGCGCAGCAUAAGAACCAGUACUACAACCGGGGGAAGCCACACGGCCUGGGCAGAGUUGGCCCGUCGCCGUCCAAGGGCUUCCGAGGGAUCAAUUGCCGGACUUUCCAAUCCGGGUCAGGUAUGCUCCCUACCCCAUCCAAGGCUUGCUCUACUCCUGUAUCCAAACAGAGAGCAUGCUCUGCUUCUCCUUCUCGUAGGAUAACUGCACCUAGUCCAAACAAGACGCAUACACCUAGUCCAGUUUCACAGUCUGAUAGCAGGACACUGAGUAAAAGCACCCCAAUUGCUAUCGAUGUCAAAAACUCGAAGAAAGGCGAGCACUUCAAUGGAAGUUUUUCAUUUUCCGAGCUCUGGGCGGGCCCGGCUUACUCCAACUCUCCCCCACCGAGUUCGUUGCCAAUUCCCAAGUUUUCAAUCCGUCCCAAGAGAACCGUGUCGCUCGAAUUGCCCAAGUCGCCCGCUGACGUCGAAAUGCACCACCCAAUUGCCAAGUCUGCACCUGCAUCCCCAACAAGGGAGCAUGGUGGGUCUGCUGCUAGGGAUCUCUUUGACAACGCUGACUCCGCGACCAAGACUCUGCGUCGCAUUCUGAAUCUCGAUGUUGACGAUGAAUGAAUGGCGGAUGGAGCACUAGGCUCCUGUAAAUAGGUUUAAAUUGUUUAUAGAAUGAAUAAAUUGGUUGGUAGACUUGGUAGUCUUGGUUUGUGAUGAGUGUGUUUAGUUUUCUGUGGUGGUGCUACAAGUUAAAGUCAUGGUUGUGGUGGGUUAACGAUCUCUGGAUGUUGGAUGUGGAGUUGGUAUUGGGAGAUGAAUGGUUUGUUUGGAGAAAUUAGCAUGGUAUGUGUAAUACGGGAUUUUCGACAUGGAUGGAACUGACCCAAAUUUUUAUGGAAGCGGAAGGAAAUAUUGGUAGGCUUGUACUUUCGAAGCGGAUGGUUGUCUGCACUAUUGAAUGCGGGAGAUGAACGUUGGGAAGAAUUGGCAUUGAAUGUGUGAUAUGGGAUUUUCGACAUGGAACUUAACUGAAAUUUUAAGGAAGCAGAGGGGAAAUAGUGGUACAAGGCUUACUUUUGAAGCGGAUGGUUCCCAGCAAUCUGGAAUGGGAGGGAUUGUGCAACUUGUCAUUACAUAUGAAAGCAGAGGGAAACUACAUUAGACUUGAAUGUUCCAAUGUAAUCCCCUCACAAGUUCGCUAAUUCUUGUUAACCCUUUUAGAGUUAGGUUUAGAUGUCUUGUUUCGUUUACUGCGUGUAUACUGUAGAAUGUGUAGUGAUCUGUCCAUACAGAACUCUGUAGGUUUCUAUUGGUUUCGUUUUUCUUCUGCAUCGCGUCUUUGCUUCCUUAGGAUUUAGAGUUAGUGUCCUUAUAAAUAGUCUAACAUUGGUUAGUCUCUUUGUUCCGUAGUACAGGAUUGUCCGAAUAGCUGCUUAGGUAAUCUUCUUUCAUUAAACUCUCUGCCUUUGUUGUUAUAGCUUCGUUUGCCUUCAUAUUCAACGUAACGUUCUUUACUUCUGAUAACAAUCUAACCUCUUUAACUACACUCUUAUCAAAGGGUGUUCCGCCCCCUCCACCAUCUUUUCUGUUUUUUAAGAAAGAAAAGAGGGAAGGGGGAGCGAUUGUUCAUUCGUACUUCUGCUUCAUUGCUUCUUCAGUCUUUAGGGUUGGUCAAUCUGUGGUUCUGUCCUGUAAGAUGUCCUGAGUUGUUCUUGUAAAUGAAUUGUGCCGGUCAUGGUCUUCACAUCGUUUUCAUCCCUGGAGGUUGUUAAUCUCGCCCUGCCAUCAACAAGGGUGCAAGUUGGGCAAGUUGGGAAAGUAUUCCGGAGGUGUUUUUGUUAGCAGUUCAUGAUGUGGUCCUUUACGCGUAUGAUGGUUCCUUGGUGAAGGCAAAUGCAGUUCCAGCAUAUCAUCACUUGUGUUGAGGAAUGGAUGAUGUGUGGAAAAUCUCUCUGUCUUGUGUACUGGGGAUUCCAUCGAUCGGACAAUUGUCUUUGUCGGGUGGAGUAUUGUAGCGUCGGACAAAUAUGUGGUCGCCAUUUAUAUCGUCUACUUAAAUUUCAAUGUUGAGUUUGUUCUUCUGUUGUCUAAUUUAAACUUGGAUGCUAGCUUGUUUAUCUUCGUCUUUCGGAUCCGUACUUUAAUUUUAUGGAAGUUAACAUUAUUUA
This is an RNA transcript of Pyrus x bretschneideri (Chinese white pear), 2564 nucleotides long. RefSeq lists it as uncharacterized. The record is from RefSeq and is a predicted model, not a curated record. Lineage: Eukaryota; Viridiplantae; Streptophyta; Magnoliopsida; Rosales; Rosaceae. The transcript is spliced from 3 exons.